AUUCUCUUCCUCUCCUUGUCUGAGCUCCCACUCAAAUUCCUGUACCAAUCUGCCAAUAGCCGUGCAAGUUAUCAACAUGGCCUGAAGAGAGCCUGCACACACCCUCUUCCCUCCUCCAAAGGCCAUAGUUUUGUACAAAUCCGAGGUCUCAUAUUUCUCAUCAAGAAAUCUCUCUGGAAUCCAUUGGUGAGGAUUUUCCCACGAGUCGUUAUCCAUGUUACAUCCAUAUAUAUUUAUUGUGAUCUGUAAAACAUGAUAUGGAAAUCAAUCAAUCAAACAUAUAAACGAUGAUAUAGUAAAUUCAAUUCAAAGGAUAAAUCGAGCGACCUCGCUUCCNNNNNNNNNNNNNNNNNNNNNNNNNNNNNNNNNNNNNNNNNNNNNNNNNNNNNNNNNNNNNNNNNNNNNNNNNNNNNNNNNNNNNNNNNNNNNNNNNNNNNNNNNNNNNNNNNNNNNNNNNNNNNNNNNNNNNNNNNNNNNNNNNNNNNNNNNNNNNNNNNCAGGAAUAUGAUAUCCUCCCAAUUGGGUAUCCUCAUGAACAUAUCUUAGUGGGAUAAUUGGAACUGGACUAUGCUUCCUUAAAGUCUCAUGGAACACAGCCCCCAAGUAAGGUAGCUUAGAUAAUUGGUCGUCAGUAACCUUUUCAUGUCCACAUACUUUUACAAGCUCCUCAUACAGACGGUCCUGCCAAAUAAUGAUGUAACUAGUUACAAUGUGUCAACAAUGGAACAGAACAGAAGAAACCACCAAAUUAACCAACCAACCAGUAAGAGUUAGCAAAAGGCAAAGUACGGCUAUCAACCUGACGACUUUUGUCUUUGGCAAGUUCAUACAUAGCCCAUUCUGUUGUAACUAACGUAGUAUCAGAUGUCUCAAUAAUUGGCUCCCAUAGCAGCGUGAUCAUUUGUUCUUCUGUCACUUCUUUAGCUUCUGAUAUCAGGUAGUCAAAAUAACAAUUUACUUCCUGCCACAACCCAAACAAUCAAGUUAGGAUAACUCUAUUACAGGCUCUACAUAGAUUUGGGGUUGUAAACAAGUAAAACUUACCUUCCCUGAUGCCAAUCGCUUCUUCUGCUCAUUAAUCAAUGCCUUCAUUAUGUAUUUUCUUCGGAGAGCCACUUUCCGAAUUUUCAUCUCCAUGCUCUUAUUUGGAAUCCAUUUCAGGUAUGGAAAGAAAUCUCGCCAGUCCACCUCAAUUGCACCCUCCAUAAAAUCAACCACUAGAAUUUUAUACAUAUCGUCUCUUGAUAAUGUACUCGCAAGCUCCUCCACAUAAAUGGAUUCAACAUCGCUUCCCAGAGCCUACAAAUUAUACAUGAAGUCAAGAUUUUGUAAAUUAUGUUAUGUUUUCCAAUUGUAUUCUCAGAAUUUUUUUUUUUAAUUUUAUUUAAGAGGAAGACUCACUUGCUUCAUUGCUAGUCUGAAAAGUUCAGACACAAAUAUUUGUCUAAAAUUAACAGCCAAGUUGGGGAAGGUCUUUGCAUGUUCACAAAACUGCCUGGACAUAUUUUCCAUCAUGACUUCUCUGACGUUACGGCGUUGCUUCUGAACAUUGAAAAAUACACUUCAGAGAUACUUUUCAUCCAAACAAUAAAAUACAGAAGAGUCUGUGUGUGUGUGUUGAGAUAGCCAUGAAGUUAUUGUAACCAAAACCUGUGCAUUGGCUCCAAGAACAUUUGCAAGAAUAUGUCUUUUGACCAUUUUGUGAAAUUCGUUGUAGUCGCUCAUAGCAACCAUACAUUUAUUAGAAGUCAGAAUGUGCAAUGCAGUUGACAUCUUCCUUGUUGAAAUUGAUGAAAAUCUGGUCACCAUUGCCUGAAAUAACCACAAAAAAUUAUAAUCCAAUUAAACAACCAGAAAUAAAAAAUAGUUCCAUGGACUGCAGUGAUGAGCACUGAAUGUCAUUUCCCCUGCCUCCUCCUCAUACUAAUAAUUAAUCUAAAAAAUAGAGAUACAAAUGAACAAUAUAAAGCAGUAUAUAUGUGAAUGCUCUGAAUUCAAAUGACAUCCUAAUCAAAAUGACUUAAAAGGCUCAUAAUUCACCUCAGCCUAUUCUUGGUGCAUAAAAAAGAACAAGCCCAUUAGACCCUUCCAUAAGAUAACCCUAGAAUUCAUUUUUUACCACAAUAGCUGCAAUAUAACAAUUUUAGAGGUAUCCAAAAUGGCAAUUGUGGUCGCAUCGACCGCAUUUGCCCAUAUUUUAGGGCAAUAUUAAGAUUUGUUGUAACUGCAAUUUAAAACCAUGUAAUAAAUAAAACGCAAAUUAUCCAUUUGAUGCAAAUAUAUAGAUUAGUGAAAUUCAGUGUUUAUAUUGAGUUAUUGAAAGAAAUAACUAAUCACAUAGUUAUUCCUAGAGUCAACAGAUCUAUACUCUAUAUAGGUGAAGAUCCGUUGACUCUAGUUAUUAGUCGGAGAUAAGUUACCCGUCUUAAUAAUUCAAUAUAAAUAAUGAAUUUCACUAAUUCAACCGUUGAUUAUUGACAUAAUAUAUUAUAAAUCCGAAAUUCUAUGUAAUCUAGUCAUCUAUGUUUACAUAUCUUUUUUUAAAAUUUAUUAUAAAUUCAUUUGAAAUUUUUAAUAAAAUAUAAAAUAGUUUUAAAAUUUCAUAAAAAUUUGUGUUGACAUUAACUUUUGAUUCGACGGUUGUAUUAGUGAAAUUUUUGUUUAUAUUAAAUUAUUAAACAAAAUAAGCCAUACAUUUGUUUAUAUUAAAUUAUUAAACGAAAUAAGUCAUACAUAGUUACUCAUUGAGUCAACAGAUCACCGCUCUUUAUCGAAUGUGAAAUUGAAAUAUGAAAAGAGUACUAGAAGUGGAAAUAAAAAAGAGGAAUGAAUAGGGACCUCCUUGGCAAGUUGGACAUUGUUGAGAACAAUAAUUUUGGAAGCACCAGCUUUAAUUGAAAAAAUGGGUCCAUGUUUAUGUGACAUCUGUGUGAAUGUCUUGUAAGGUUUCUUCUCCUUCAACUGCAGAAGAUUCCCAAUCACUGGCAAACCUGGAACCACUGCAUCAACCAAAACAAAACAAACCAUUUUCAUGCAUUCAUAUUUCAUAGUACUAAAUAAAACUUUUGAUCAUAUAUAUAGAUAUAAGUCCAAGACAACAAGAAAGUGAUACUAACCUGGUACUGGGGGAAGUUUGUGAGUGUUUCGACGACGGAAUAGGAAGAGGAACAAGAAGACAGAAAAAGCACCCAAAGCAACUGAGGUGGCUACGAGAUUCUCCAUUCUGCUUCCUCUUCUACUCUCACUAUUCUAACCACUUCUAACAAUUAUUGUAUUUCUAUGGGACAUUUGUUUCUAACAUAUUCUAUAUAUAAGAUAAGAGAAACACACAACUCACAUUUAUAGAAUUAGAAUAAAAUAAAAUAAAAAAUACAUAUAUAUAAUUUUAAUUUUAUUAUAUAGAAUUAUUACAUUAAUUAUUUAUAUAUUAUUAAUUAAAUUUAUAAAAAAAAUUGAUGUUUAAGUUAAAUAUUUAGAGAAUUUUAGUAAAGUUAAUUCUACAUGUUCAUUUUAUGGGUCACGUUGAAAUUUGGAGGCACUAAUUACAGCAUCUCUCUCGUUAGAUUCUCUCUCUUGCCAAUUAAAUAUAGCUUGUUCACCAACUAUUUGACAUAUAAAUUAAUUAAUUAAAACAAAUCAAAUUUUACUGCAGACCAUCUUGGACCAAUGAUUAACCGUCAGCAGAAACUCCAUCGAUAAAUUAAUAGGACCUUUAAUUUUUAGAAUACUUUUAAAAAACGUCAUCAAUCAAUUAUUUCAAUAAUUUUAAAUAAUAAUUUACAAUACUAUUUAUAAAUGUAGUUCAUAGUAACAUCUACCAUUAAAACAAGCAUAUAGUUAUGUAUUAAGGAGACUAAUUUUCAUCAUCAUCCAAAUUUUCAUGUCAAAUACAUAUCCUUCAGUUUUGGUAUAUAUUUUUAAUCAUCAUUAUUUUUCACAUAUUAUUUAUAUUUUAAUAUUCGAAUGACACAACUAUUUUUAAGAUAAUCUUUUGACAUCUAAAAUAAAUAGCUUUUAAAUGCUGUAUAACAAUAAUUUACUAAACAAUAAUACUAAAUGCUUUAUUUAUUAAUUAAAUAUAGGAAUAAGUUUGUAUGUGAACAGUUAAGUAUUUGUUUAUUCUAAUAGUUGAGUUUUUUUUUUUUUUACGAACUAAUAGUUGACUAUCAUAAACACCAAAUGCAUGCACUGACUAUUACAAAAUUAAUUUACACUAUUUUAAAUUUAAAUAGAAUAUAUUGAAUAGUAAAAUUCAAGGAAUCAGACACAGUAUUAAUUAUUGUUCAAAAUUAGAUUGUAAAGAUUUGCAUAACAAUGUAUAUAGUUCAAUAGUAAUUUUAAAAUAUAAAUUUAUAUAUAAUUAAACUACUGAGUAUUGACUAAGAGUAAUUAACAAAUAUCUUAUUUAUUGCAUACUAAUUGAGUAAAAUAAAUAAAUAGAACAAAAAAAUAAAAAUAAAAAUUAUAUUCACAAUAUAUUCAAAUUUUUAUAGAUAAAUAAUUUAUCUUAAAAUUUCAUAUUCUUAAUGUUAAUUACCAGUCACCACCGUUUGAAUCAAAAUUAUUUUAAAAGAAAUCAAUUGAUAUUAUUUUAUUAUAAUAAAAUACUUCAUUUUGGUUAAUAUUAUAAAAAAAAUAAAAAAAUAAACUACUUUCACCUAUAUUAAAAAAAAAAGUAGUUAAUUGUAAUUAAUUUUCUAAAUUUCAUACAAAAAUAUAAAUUAAAUUUAUUAAAUUAUCUCUUUUUAUAAUGUAAUGAAAAUAAUACCACUAAAUAAUCCAAAAUAAUUAAUUUUUACUUAUAAUAGUGAUUAAAAUUUAAUAUUUUAAACAUUAACAAUAAAAAAAUUUAUAUCUAUGUUACUGUUUAUCUAUCAUUUGGUUGUUUCUACACAAAAAACUCUCUAUCUAUUUAUCUGUGUCAAAAUAGUUUUUCAAACAAUACUUUUAAAAAUUAUAUUAAUAAUAAGUAAUAUAAUAUAAAAAAUUGUGAAAAGCAUUUCUUAAAAGUCAUCUAUUUUGUACUAUUCUUCCUCGUCGUAAGUCCGAUUUCAGUGAAAUCAACGUCAAAACGAUCGUGUGAAAAGUAGCUAUAUUAUUCACUAAUUAGUUUUCUGAUUUAUGGUAAGUUUCCUUGAUCCAAUUUUGAAAGCUAGUUUUUAGAAUGUUUUCUCAUAAUUUAUUUUCAACGUUUAUCCAUAAAUUGUCGAGUUAGAUCGAUUGAAGAACAAGGAGUCAAAGAACAAAGGUCGUUUGCUCGUGGAAUUGUAUUCAUAUGUGAUUAAAAUGUUAAAUAGAAAUAUUUAUAAGGUGUUGAUUGAUUUAAUUUUCGAUAAUUGUGUGGUAUUUGAUAUUUGAUACUAUUGUAAUAUUGGAUGUCGAAUGAAAUUUUGUGCAUAUGUUUGAUUGGACAAAUUCUUGUGAUGCGAAUAAAAUAUGGAUGCAUUGUAUGAUAUAUGUUUAUGUAAUGAUAAUGAUGAUUUUUGAUUGACGAUAGUAAUGUUAUAAAUUUAUGAUGAGUUUAUAUGAUAAUCGUGAUUAUGUAUGAUUAACAAUGUUAUAAAGUUGUGAUAAGAAUAUUGAAGUAUCCAUAAUUGAUGAAAUAGUGAUGAUUUCAACUUGCGCUAAAGAUGAUGCUCUUAAUGGAGUAGUCUAGGUUAACAAGGGGAGAAAAUAGAUGUUGGGAAUAUUUGAAGUUAACGUGGAUUUUGAAGUGUAGAUUAUUUUUUCAUCAUAUAGAUAGGGUUUGACAAACCUAGUGAUUAUGGGGAAGUACAACUGAAUGAGUCUGAUCGUGGCGGUUUGCUAUUGAGCCUUAGGGCAAGAUCGUUAGACUUUGGAGGUAUUCGGGUGGGGAAUUCCUAGAUGACUUGGAGUUAGCACUCUAAAUAUUGGGAACUACCAUGCAACACACGUUUACCUCAACUGUCGCGUAUAUGUGUCUCGGGUUGAGUUGAGGGAAUCUAUGAAAACAAGGUCAAUUUUAAUUGUCCGUCCACCAGGAUGGUGGCAUAGUAUUAAGUCUCCUAACUAAAUACUUCAAAGUUAGAAUGAUACCAAAUUGUGAAGUAGAGUCUAAGCUCAUACAUAAUAUUGCAUUUUUGUAUGAUUGUUUUAUUGUGAUUAAUGUGUUUUAAAAGUGAUAAUAAUUUCCCUGAAAUGAUGUGACGAUGUGACGGUAUAUUGAUUUUACUUAGGGAUUUAGACAUUAUAAUAUGAUAUUAUUUCUCUUGAGUAUUUUUAUAUAUCAUAAUAUGUUAUGAUACAACCUAUUAUGAUUGUUUGUGUGUUCUUCUUACUUAUGUUACAUUAUCAACAUGAUUUCAAAAUUCACCUCAUUCGUUGUUUGUGUUUAACUGAUUCGGCCAUGCGUUUGCAAAAUCAUAGUUGUACAUGUUAAUGAGUCUUGAAGUUCAAGUUUGGAAGGAACUCUUCCCUGAUAGAUGAUAUCGGAGAUAAGUAAUAAAUGUUCAUCAUAUGCAUAUUUUCAUUAUUUUUAGUCUUAUUUAUAUUUUAUUUAUUAGUUAAUUUAAGGAGUUAUUUGAUAUAUUUUGUUAAUUUUAUUUCUUUACUUUAAUGAAAUGUGUAUGUUCUUAUUUCCUUGAUUAAGUAUAAAUUUUUUGGAGUUUUGCGUUGUUACUUUGUUUUAAUGUAGUGCUGAAUUUUUGUGAGAAAUCAAAAUGACAUAUGUGAAGUAUUUUAGCCCUAUCUAGAGUUGUAGAUGUUCAAUUGGAGUCAAACUAAAUGCAAAUGAAAGCUAGAUCCAUAGCUACAACUUUCAUGAAGAUCCCGAAACCAAAUUCGGACUCAAAGGAGGAGAACAUUGCACUACACUUCAAAAAGAAAAUGUUGUGCGCUUGAAGCGCAUUUCGCGCUGAAGCCACUGCCAAUCUGGGCCUGAAGCGCAUUUCGCGCUGAAGCCACUGUCAAUCCGCGCCUGAAGCGCGCGACGCGCAGCUAAACACAUUAAAACUCGUUUUUCUCACUUUUUAAGUAUCUUUUUUACUAUUGGGAAGUUGAGAGACUGGUGUCCUAGCAUACAAACUCAAAGACGACCAUUUCUAACACCAUUGAAGCAGUUUUAUCAAGAAUCGCUCAUGAAUCUUUCUUAAUAAUUAAAUGUAAUUCAAUAGUAAAACGCAAUCCUUGAGUUCGACACUCGGUACUAUCGUUUUAUUAUUACUUGCAACAAUUCAACACACUUGCUGAAACACUAUCAAUAAGGAUUUUAAUUUGAAACGAUUUUUUGUAUAAAAACUUGUACUAGUAAGUUUUUAAAAUUAAAUUAAGUAAAUAUAUUUAAAUUAAGUAAACUUGUAUAAAUCAUGCAUAUAUAAGAUGAUUGUAUUCAUAGUUUCUAACAUUUUUAUAAUAUGGUUUCUAUAAAUAAUUAAAACAUUUAAGUUAAGUCAUAAAUAUUUAAUAUAUAAAGUAUAUGACACUAAAAUAAUUCAUGCACAACAUGACUAUAUUCAUAGUUUGCAAUUUUAUUUUCUGUAGAAGUCUCUAAAAAUUAUUAAAAAAUCUAAGGUAAAUAAUCAAAAUAUAAAUAAAAUUGAAUAAAAAAUAUUCAUAAUAGUUUUAAUAUGUUUUAUUAAAAAAAAAUUCAUAUAUUUAUAAAUAAUCAUUUAAUGCAAAAAUAAUAGAAAAUAGACUAACUACAUACACUAUAUUAUAAAAUAGGCAUAAUUGUUUUAAUGAUCUUUUAAUUUAAUUUCAGUAACACUUCGGUCGUUCAUCUUUUUUUCUUCUUCUUGAUUUAGUCAUUUAUUUGAUUUUAACUAAUAAUUUGAUCAUUUAUAUCUUAAAAUGUCAAUAAUAUUAUCUUUUUUUUUUACAUAAACUUAAAAAAUUCAUCGAAACCUUCAAACAAAAUCCAUAAAAUGAAAUACCAAUUUUAAGAAAAUUCAUGAAAUACAUGACUUAAAUAUUCAAAUAAACUCAUAUUUUCAUCUCCAACAACAUCAAAUAAAGAAUAAAAAUAUGAGUUAUGAAUUUGAUGAAAUUUGAUUUUAUAUUGAAGAUGAUAAUUAAUUUUAUGGGUUUUGUUUGAAAAUUUUGAUGAAUUUUUUAAAUUUUUUAUAAAAAUUGAUAAUAUUGUUGACAUUUUAAAAUAUAAAAGAUCAAAUUGUUAUUUAAAAUUAAAUAAAAUACUAAAGCAUAAGAAGAAAAAAAUAAAGGAUAUAAUUAAAAUAAAUUGGGGGAAGCGAUACUUAUAUAAUUAAAAAUAAAAAAUUGGAGGAGAAGGAUACUUUUAUUAUGGCACUGAUAGUCAAAAUGUUUCGAAAUGAAUUUGAACUCGGAGGCUAGUUGUUACUGGUGGUGACCAAGCAAGCAAGGAUUAUGAAAAAUGUAAUGCUAAAUACAGCUCAUAAUUGAGAUAUGGAUCGGUUCAUACAUUAUACCUUUGUGAAUCAAAUUAAUUAGGUGAAGUUAAAAGCAAACAGAAGAAUAUAUCAAUCUCAUUAAUUAUUAGCUUCAGUAAUUAAAGCAUUCUUCUUCUGAGUAAUUAUUUACUUCAAUAAAAAUUAAAAUACUCAUUGAACAAAUCUUACAUAAACUCCUUCAGAGAUAACUAAUAAAAUAUUCUUUUUAUUAUUUUAAUGUAUGUAUUACUCCCUCAUUCGAUAUAACCGUUUAUUUUGUAAUAUUAAUUUGUCUCGAAUUAUUUUAGUAAGUAAAACUCAUUUUAAAAUUAAAAUAAACACAACUAAUAAGAAACUAAAAGUAAUUAUGUUCGGAUGAUCAGUUUGUUACUUUCAAAAAAAUUGAACUUUGUAAACUUCAUUGGCUCAAAUGAUCCAGAUAAAAUUACAUGAUGUUGCACAAGUAGAUUUAUUAUUUUCAGCAUUGUUUUUAUAAUUAUUAUCUAGCUAUCUUGUAUCUCCCUCACAAAUGUUAGACUAUUGAAUCUCUAGCUAGUAGAUGUCGAUUAUGAGAUUGUGUUCUUCAUUGAAAUUACAGUCACUCUCACUUGUUUCGCAUGUGGGCACUUCCCUUUGGUAGCCUAACCUUUGCUAAAAAUACUUAAAACUACACCCCCACAUAAAUGAUUUAUAUUAACAUUCCUGUCAAGUGAAACUUUAAAAUAAUUUGUUGCAUAACGCCCUUUAAAAUUGAGAGUUUAAGGAUUUGUUUAACCUCACAAAAAGCCCCCAAAUCAUAUAAGAUACUAGAGAUGGGAAAUCAGAAACAAACAACAGCGAAAACAAUAAAUAAGUGCUAAUAGAAAAAACAGAGAAAACAACAAAGGCAGACUUAAGGGAGGAACAACACAAUAAAAAAAGACAAAGGAGCAGAAGCAUGAAACAGUUGGAAGACAAAAGACGGCAGACAGACAAAACUAGCCUCUUGACAUUCAGGGAAGUGCCUGCAUUUGAUUUGGUGGUCCAGGAAUGCACUUCAGUAAAUCAAACCACUGGGAUUGAAUCAUAGUUUUACACACGUCAAAAAACGUACUUCGGUUCUGAUUGGCAGUCAAUGAGGUAUAGAUCAUGUCACCACCCAUGUCAUGAUUAUUAUUAAAAAUCAAUUUGUUGAUUGUCCUUGCAUGAUUGAAAAACUAAAGACGAUCAUACAACAAACUUGAUAAAACUCUUGUACUUUUAUUAUACCAAACUUUAUUUAUCAAUGUUGAUAAUGUCUUAGAUUUGAGAUAACUAUACUAUGAGGUGCACUUAGUAAAUAUGUAGCUAUGCUACAACCAGUAAGUUUACCAGCCAAGUUAAACCUACUACUUAAAAUGAUUUCUUGGCUUAAGUUUUACUAGCAGGGGAUGAAGCCUGUUGGUGGUAAGGGCACUUGUAUCAACAUCCUCUUCCUCUCCCUGUCCGAGCUCCCACUCAAAUUCCUGAACAAAUCUGCCAAUAGCCGUGCAAGUUAUCAACAUGGCCUCAAGAGAGCCUGCACACACCCUCUUCCCUCCUCCAAAGGCCAUAGUUUUGUACAAAUCCGAGGUCUCAUAUUUCUCAUCAAGAAAUCUCUCUGGAAUCCAUUGGUCAGGAUUUUCCCACCGGUCGUUAUCCAUGUUACAUGCAUAUAUAUUUAUUGUGAUCUGUAAAACAUGAUAUGGAAAUCAAUCAAUCAAACAUAUAAACAAUGAUAUAGUAAAUAUUCAAAGGAUAAAUAUCCGGUGAUCUGUAAAACAUGAUAUGGAAAUCAAUCAAUCAAACAUAUAAACGAUGAUAUAGUAAAUUUUAUUCAAAGGAUAAAUCGAGCGACCUGGCUUCCAGCAGNNNNNNNNNNNNNNNNNNNNNNNNNNNNNNNNNNNNNNNNNNNNNNNNNNNNNNNNNNNNNNNNNNNNNNNNNCAGGAAUAUGAUAUCCUCCCAAUUGGGUAUCCUCAUU
This 10345-nucleotide long non-coding RNA is filed under the name Cicer arietinum (chickpea). RNAcentral describes it as "long non-coding RNA (CARI_LNC000056)". The record is from RNAcentral. Lineage: Eukaryota; Viridiplantae; Streptophyta; Magnoliopsida; Fabales; Fabaceae.